Molecule: ribosomal RNA, 225 nt
Filed under: Vibrio splendidus
Lineage: Bacteria; Pseudomonadati; Pseudomonadota; Gammaproteobacteria; Vibrionales; Vibrionaceae
Description: partial 16S ribosomal RNA
Rfam family: Bacterial small subunit ribosomal RNA
Source: RNAcentral
AAAUUGAAGAGUUUGAUCAUGGCUCAGAUUGAACGCUGGCGGCAGGCCUAACACAUGCAAGUCGAGCGGAAACGACAACAUUGAAUCUUCGGAGGAUUUGUUGGGCGUCGAGCGGCGGACGGGUGAGUAAUGCCUAGGAAAUUGCCUUGAUGUGGGGGAUAACCAUUGGAAACGAUGGCUAAUACCGCAUAAUGCCUACGGGCCAAAGAGGGGGAUCUUCGGACC